UCUAAGGAUGGUUCUUCAGCGAGCUCACGCUCACUAUCGAACCGUUUUAGAAACAUUCAGGGGCCAACAGUUUCAGGAUUGUUGAGCUCCAUUGGCGGGAUUUCGCCGUCUUCGUUUCUCUUUCUUCGCGGACGAACACGCGCCAGGGGCUGAGCGCUGUGCGGUGCACCGACUUCAGGUCGAGUGCGCGCCGGCAUGUCUCUCGUGUUAGGGGCUUGUAGCUCAGUUGGUUAGAGCGCGCGCUUGAUAAGCGUGAGGUCGGAAGUUCAAGUCUUCCCAGGCCCACCAUUUUGAUCGAGUGCGGAGCAUUCGUCUUCUGGUACGGGGCCAUAGCUCAGCUGGGAGAGCGCGUGCUUUGCAAGCAUGAGGUCGUCGGUUCGAUCCCGUCUGGCUCCACCAGAUGGAAUUGAAGCUCGAGAAUGCCUCGUUCAAUCGUUCGCGAAACAUCACUUCGCACUCAUUGGUCCGGAUGGACGGUGACGUGCGUGUUUUCUGACAUCGUAAAGAGGAGAUCGAUCCGAGUUUGGAUCAAGCGAAGCAAUUCGCCUGAGCCAUUCAUUAUCUCCGGGAUCAUUUCGGCGCUCGCUUUCAAUCGAGAGAUUGGACGCGGGUUGUAAAUGAUCCCUUUUAGCGAAGCUUGACCGCCUCGCUAUCGGGCCGAUCUUACGAAGCAAGCUGGUCUUUCUAGUCAAUGUCCGGCUGCGCAAUCGCAUUCAUCGAGGAUGCGCGCCUGGGACUUCGGUCCUUGGGCAGUUGUGCAGACAACAUUCUGCCGAGUGUGUGGACAUUGAUAAUGAGAGCAAUCAAGUGCCUUAAGGGUGUUCGGUGGAUGCCUUGGCGCUGAGAGGCGAUGAAGGACGUGCUACGCUGCGAUAAGCCGUGGGGAGCUGCGAAGAAGCUUUGAUCCGCGGAUUU
Molecule: unclassified non-coding RNA, 915 nt
Filed under: Bradyrhizobium elkanii
Lineage: Bacteria; Pseudomonadati; Pseudomonadota; Alphaproteobacteria; Hyphomicrobiales; Nitrobacteraceae
Description: partial contains 16S-23S rRNA intergenic spacer, and 23S rRNA
Rfam family: Bacterial large subunit ribosomal RNA (bases 802-915)
Source: RNAcentral